CCUACGGGGGGCUGCAGUGGGGAAUAUUGGACAAUGGGGGAAACCCUGAUCCAGCAAUGCCGCGUGUGUGAAGAAGGCCUUCGGGUUGUAAAGCACUUUCAGUGGGGAGGAAGGGGUAGUUGUUAAUACCAACUAUCAUUGACGUUACCCAAAGAAGAAGCACCGGCUAACUCUGUGCCAGCAGCCGCGGUAAUACAGAGGGUGCAAGCGUUAAUCGGAAUUACUGGGCGUAAAGCGUGUGUAGGUGGUUAUGUAAGUUAGAUGUGAAAUCCCCG
This 275-nucleotide ribosomal RNA is filed under the name uncultured bacterium. RNAcentral describes it as "partial 16S ribosomal RNA". It matches the Rfam family "Bacterial small subunit ribosomal RNA", at positions 338 to 605 of the family's 1533-position model. The record is from RNAcentral.